UUAUCCGGAAAUAUUGGGCGUAAAGCGCGCGUAGCGGUUUCUUAAGUCUGAUGCUGAAAGCCCACGGCUCAACCGUGGAGGGUCAUUGGAAACUGGGAAACUUGAGUGCAGAAGAGGAAAGUGGAAUUCCAUGUGUACGGUGAAAUGCGCAGAGAUAUGGAGGAACACCAGUGGCGAAGGCGACUUUCUGGUCUGUACUGACGCUGAUGUGCGAAACGUG
This 220-nucleotide ribosomal RNA is filed under the name Staphylococcus cohnii. RNAcentral's name for it is "partial 16S ribosomal RNA". It matches the Rfam family "Bacterial small subunit ribosomal RNA", at positions 541 to 763 of the family's 1533-position model. The record is from RNAcentral. Lineage: Bacteria; Bacillati; Bacillota; Bacilli; Caryophanales; Staphylococcaceae.